This 520-nucleotide ribosomal RNA is filed under the name uncultured Scutellospora. RNAcentral describes it as "SSU rRNA". It matches the Rfam family "Eukaryotic small subunit ribosomal RNA", at positions 569 to 1097 of the family's 1831-position model. Lineage: Eukaryota; Fungi; Glomeromycota; Glomeromycetes; Diversisporales; Gigasporaceae. The record is from RNAcentral.
AGCAGCCGCGGUAAUUCCAGCUCCAAUAGCGUAUAUUAAAGUUGUUGCAGUUAAAAAGCUCGUAGUUGAAUUUCGGGGUUCUGCCGUUGGUCGGGCUUUGUCUGUACUGGCGUGUAGAAUUUCUACCUUCUGGGGAACUAUCAUGUUAUUAAUUUAACGUAGUGGGAAACCAGGACCUUUACCUUGAAAAAUUAGAGUGUUCAAAGCAGGCUUAUGUCUGAAUACAUUAGCAUGGAAUAAUAAAAUAGGACGGUGGUCCUGUUUUGUUGGUUUCUGAAUCACCGUAAUGAUUAAUAGGGAUAGUUGGGGGCAUUAGUAUUCAAUUGUCAGAGGUGAAAUUCUUGGAUUUAUUGAAGACUAACUUCUGCGAAAGCAUUUGCCAAGGAUGUUUUCAUUAAUCAAGAACGAAAGUUAGGGGAUCGAAGACGAUCAGAUACCGUCGUAGUCUUAACCAUAAACUAUGCCGACUAGGGGUCGACGAUGUUAAUUUUUCUUGACUCGUUCGGCGCCUUACGGGAAC